Molecule: long non-coding RNA, 292 nt
Filed under: Phasianus colchicus (ring-necked pheasant)
Lineage: Eukaryota; Metazoa; Chordata; Aves; Galliformes; Phasianidae
Description: lncRNA (ENSPCLG00000010054.1)
Source: RNAcentral
GGUGUGUGAAAACACGGCAGUGACAGGGGUACCAGCACUGCCUCGCGAACAGUUUUGAACUUUGUGGCCCCUUCCCAAAGUUUCCUAAAAAAGAAAGAACAAUGAAAGAUAAUGAAAAAACUGAAAGAUUAUGAAAGAACUGAAAAGAAGGAAGUUCUUCACAUGCAUCAAUGAACUGUUAGAAGUGAAAUUCACAUUUCCUAUCUCUUUUGAGUGAGGCUUUGAAGCAGAAUGUAGCUCCCAAAGAAAGAUAUUUUCCAUUUUAUCAUGGCUGAAAAACCAAAUGUAAAUG